CUGACAGCUCUAGAAACCUCUCUUUAUCUACAGAAAAAGUACAGUGUGGACACUGGCAGGGCAGGAUUCUUCAUGCUUCCUUAGUGUGACUCACCUUCACCUGAAGGGACCACUCACAGGUCAGAUGGGGAUUCAUUCUCCAGGCCCAUUCAAUAGGUGACUUCU
This 165-nucleotide small RNA is filed under the name Chelonoidis abingdonii (Abingdon island giant tortoise). RNAcentral's name for it is "TUC338 (ENSCABG00000020719.1)". The record is from RNAcentral. Lineage: Eukaryota; Metazoa; Chordata; Testudines; Testudinidae.